UUCUUCCUGCUAAAAAGCUCCAAUGUUGUCCAAAAACUAUUAGAAGCACAUUAAUGAGCCACAGUGUUACACAAGGUGACAUGUUCUUUCAUUACCA
Long non-coding RNA from Sander lucioperca (pikeperch), 97 nucleotides. RefSeq lists it as uncharacterized. Lineage: Eukaryota; Metazoa; Chordata; Actinopteri; Perciformes; Percidae. The transcript has 3 exons. The record is from RefSeq and is a predicted model, not a curated record.